GACGAACGCUGGCGGCGUGCUUAACACAUGCAAGUCGAGCGGAAAGGCCCUUCGGGGUACUCGAGCGGCGAACGGGUGAGUAACACGUGAGUAACCUGCCCCAGACUUUGGGAUAACCCUCGGAAACGGGGGCUAAUACCGGAUACGACACAGCUUCGCAUGGGGUCUGUGUGGAAAGUUUUUCGGUUUGGGAUGGGCUCGCGGCCUAUCAGCUUGUUGGUGGGGUGAUGGCCUACCAAGGCGACGACGGGUAGCCGGCCUGAGAGGGCGACCGGCCACACUGGGACUGAGACACGGCCCAGACUCCUACGGGAGGCAGCGGUGGGGAAGAGUGCACAAGGGGCGGAAGCCUGAUGCAGCGACGCCGCGUGAGGGAUGACGGCCUUCGGGUUGUAAACCUCUUUCAGCAGGGACGAAGCGUAAGUGACGGUACCUGCAGAAGAAGCGCCGGCCAACUACGUG
RNAcentral lists this ribosomal RNA (462 nucleotides) under uncultured bacterium. RNAcentral's name for it is "partial 16S ribosomal RNA". It matches the Rfam family "Bacterial small subunit ribosomal RNA", at positions 28 to 507 of the family's 1533-position model. The record is from RNAcentral.